AAAAAAAAAAAAAUCAAAAUUGAUUAACUCGUGGCUUUUUACAAUAGAAAGGAACGAGGUUCAUCAAAAGGAGCAUAGAAAGGAGAAAGAGUGACUGACCAUACAACCCUUGCUCUGCCAUUGUUGCGACCUCUUUCUGCAGUAUGAAACAAAAGAAGAAAUGGGAAAGGAGAAGCCAAAAUCCAUAGGAGUAUGGCCUGCAGUGAGACCCUUUGUCAAUGGCGGAGCGUCUGGCAUGCUCGCUACCUGUGUUGUCCAACUCAUCGACAUGAUCAAGAUAAAUUUUGUAACUUCCACAAAUACGCACACUAUCUAUUUGAGAAUGGGAGCUAUGAGGAGGCUAUGGAACAGUUUUUGGCAUCUCAAGUAGAAAUCACAUAUGUGCUUUCUUUAUAUCCAUCUAUUGUCCUUCCGAAAUCAGCUGUGGUACCUGAGCCGAAGAAGUAUAUAGACAUCACCGGAGAUACUCCAUAUCUGUCAAGAGGCUCGUCUGGUAUAUCAGAUGAUGUCUAUAUACUUCACAGAUGAUGGAAUCCCCACCUACUUCACAGCUGUUGGAAUCUGAUGAGAGUGCUGCCCUGGAGUCCAAGAAAAUGAGCCAUAACAUGCUAAUGGUUCUCAUCAAGUUUUUGCAGAAGAAGAGAUACAGUAUAAUUGAAAAAGCCAUUGCUGAGGGAACUGGGGAAGUUGUUUCAGAUGCUGUUGGGGAUAAUUACGUAUUGUAUGAUUCCAAUCAGUUUAAGAAAUCAUCCAAGGUAAAUUAUUCAUAUUUUCCUUCAUGAGGAAAAUUAGGUCAUGUCAAAUAUAAUUCAAAAGUAUUUUACAUUGAUUUGUAGUAGCUUUGCUUGAUUCCUUCUUUUACUUGUAUUUUCAGGAGUAUUUAUAUAGUUCAAAAGUAUUUAUAUUUGAUCAUGAUCAUUUGAAUUAAAUGCACAGAUGCUAGACUGCAUGGUUGCUAAAUUUCAUCCUAAAAUAUCCACACACAUGCAUACACACGUAAUAUGCAUGUAAUGGCAAGUAGUGCUGGCGAUGGAUGCACAAGUAAUGAUGACAUCUAUUUAUAAAUUAUCAUCAAUAUUUCAUACAAUAAAUUAUUUGAAUUAUCAUGAUUGAUGUGGGUACUUGUAUCAAGCUCAAUACGUGGCAAGCCCUACAGGUGCCACAUCACCAAAACCCCACCUACGUGGCAGACCAUUAAGGCACCACGUCUGGCAUGCCGUAUGUUUGAUACAUGGUGAGCCCUAUAGGCGCCAUGUGCCAAGGCAACCAAAACUAUAUGCUUAGCCUAAGCGGGAGCAUAUAUACAAGCCCAAAUAUAUCUAGAUAUGAAGAGCCCUGCAACAGGCAGCACCAUGGCCCUGCAGGGCCCAUGGUCCUUUAUACCUAGCUCCAAGGCCAAACAACAAUACAAUCAGCCUCCGGCUCACUUGUACUUGGAUUGAUAAACAAUGGCUCUCCUAAACAUUGAGAUAGGCCUGCGGCCCAUUCUCUUACUUGAUCGCUCAGAAGCGAGCCCCUCUCUUAAACAUUGAGCUAAGCCCGCGGCCCAUUCUCCUUAC
Molecule: non-coding RNA, 1559 nt
Organism: Camellia sinensis
Lineage: Eukaryota; Viridiplantae; Streptophyta; Magnoliopsida; Ericales; Theaceae
Source: RefSeq, a predicted model, not a curated record